AUUUAUUUAUUAUAUGUGAGUACACUGUAGCUGUCUUCAGACACUCCAGAAGAGGGCGUCAGAUCUGGUUAACGAUGCCUGGUGGGUGCUGGAAAUCAAACAGAGCUGUACUCCUAGCUGUGUUCCUAGCUGAUGGCGUCCCUCCUGUCCCAACAAGGUGGUUUCUGACGUCCCUGAUGGGGUAUGGACACACAAUCACAGGUGCUCAUGGAUACUGGAAGAUGAAGGUGGAUCCCCUGGAGCUGAGGUUCUACACAGUAGUGAUGUUCAAGUGGGCUUGGGUUCUCUGCUAGAGCAGUAACUGCUGAGCCACCUUUCCAGCUCCCACUUUUACACAAGUGUUCAUCUACAAAUCCUCUCAAAUGAGUUUUGGAAAAUGAUACUCAAUAUGUGACCCCGAUAGACAGAUGUGGGGCCAUUAAAGGUUCUGAGAUGCCCCAGGA
Molecule: long non-coding RNA, 443 nt
Filed under: Mus pahari (shrew mouse)
Lineage: Eukaryota; Metazoa; Chordata; Mammalia; Rodentia; Muridae
Description: lncRNA (MGP_PahariEiJ_G0005228.1)
Source: RNAcentral